This 434-nucleotide unclassified non-coding RNA is filed under the name soil metagenome. RNAcentral's name for it is "partial contains 5.8S ribosomal RNA, internal transcribed spacer 2, and large subunit ribosomal RNA". The stretch from base 1 to 120 matches the Rfam family "5.8S ribosomal RNA", at positions 35 to 154 of the family's 154-position model. The record is from RNAcentral.
GAUGAAGAACGCAGCGAAAUGCGAUACGUAAUGUGAAUUGCAGAAUUCAGUGAAUCAUCGAAUCUUUGAACGCAUAUUGCGCUCUUUGGUAUUCCGAAGAGCAUGCUUGUUUGAGUAUCAGUAAACACCUCAAAGCUUUUGGAUUUUUUAAUAGAAAAGCUUUGGACUUGAGCAAUCCCAACACCAAUCUUUUUGAGAUCGGUGGCGGGUUGCUUGAAAUGCAGGUGCAGCUGGACAUUCUCCUGAGCUAAAAGCAUAUUCAUUUAGUCCCGUCAAACGGAUUAUUACUUUUGCUGCAGCUAACAUAAAGGGAGUUUGACCGUAUUGGCUGACUGAUGCAGGAUUUCACAAGGGUCGGCAACGAUUCUUGUUAAACUCGAUCUCAAAUCAAGUAAGACUACCCGCUGAACUUAAGCAUAUCAAUAAGCGGAGGA